Molecule: ribosomal RNA, 366 nt
Filed under: Paracoccus sp. (in: a-proteobacteria)
Lineage: Bacteria; Pseudomonadati; Pseudomonadota; Alphaproteobacteria; Rhodobacterales; Paracoccaceae
Description: bacterial SSU rRNA
Rfam family: Bacterial small subunit ribosomal RNA
Source: RNAcentral
UUCAACUUGAGAGUUUGAUCCUGGCUCAGAACGAACGCUGGCGGCAGGCUUAACACAUGCAAGUCGAGCGAGACCUUCGGGUCUAGCGGCGGACGGGUGAGUAACGCGUGGGAACGUGCCCUUUGCUACGGAAUAGUCCCGGGAAACUGGGUUUAAUACCGUAUGUGCCCUUCGGGGGAAAGAUUUAUCGGCAAAGGAUCGGCCCGCGUUGGAUUAGGUAGUUGGUGGGGUAAUGGCCUACCAAGCCGACGAUCCAUAGCUGGUUUGAGAGGAUGAUCAGCCACACUGGGACUGAGACACGGCCCAGACUCCUACGGGAGGCAGCAGUGGGGAAUCUUAGACAAUGGGGGCAACCCUGAUCUAGCC